RNAcentral lists this transfer RNA (72 nucleotides) under Camelus ferus (Wild Bactrian camel). It matches the Rfam family "tRNA". Rfam says of the family: Transfer RNA (tRNA) molecules are approximately 80 nucleotides in length. Their secondary structure includes four short double-helical elements and three loops (D, anti-codon, and T loops). The record is from Rfam by way of RNAcentral. Lineage: Eukaryota; Metazoa; Chordata; Mammalia; Artiodactyla; Camelidae.
GAGGAGAUAGCUCAGUGGUAGAGUGUAUGCUUAGCAUGCACAAGGUCCUGGGCUCAAUCCCCAGUACCAUCA